Molecule: non-coding RNA, 410 nt
Organism: Esox lucius (northern pike)
Lineage: Eukaryota; Metazoa; Chordata; Actinopteri; Esociformes; Esocidae
Source: the annotation of a RefSeq genome assembly
GCUCCUUCAACACAGCAGAAACUACAUCAACAAUGACUCUGGCCACCAUCUUCAUCUGGACACUGGUCUGCUUCUGCUUCAGAGGAUCCAGAGGUCAGGUGACUGUGACUCAGACUCCUGUAGUGACCUUUUCUCCAGGAGACACUGUCACUCUGACCUGUAGAAACAACCCUGCAGUUGUCAAAUAUAGUGAUGGAGAUGAGGGUGCGUUCUGGUAUCAACAGAGACCUGGAGAAGCUCCUAAACUCCUGAUAAAAUAUGCAAAGACAAGGAUAGAUGGGAUUCCUGCUAGAUUCAGUGGCAGUGGGUCUGGGAGUGACUUCAGUCUGACCAUCAGUGGAGUCCAGGCUGAAGAUGCAGCAGUUUACUACUGUCAGAGUCAUCACAGUGGUUAUGUGGUCACACAGUGA